RNAcentral lists this ribosomal RNA (429 nucleotides) under uncultured bacterium. RNAcentral describes it as "bacterial SSU rRNA". It matches the Rfam family "Bacterial small subunit ribosomal RNA", at positions 355 to 775 of the family's 1533-position model. The record is from RNAcentral.
UGAGGAAUCUUGCGCAAAGGGGGAAACCCUGACGCAGCAACGCCGCGUGAGUGAGGAAGGCCUUCGGGUCGUAAAGCUCUGUCAGAUGGGAAGAAAUGGAUGGGGGCUAAUAUCGUCCAUCCUUGACGGUACCAUCAGAGGAAGCACCGGCUAACUCCGUGCCAGCAGCCGCGGUAAUACGGGGGGUGCAAGCGUUGUUCGGAAUCAUUGGGCGUAAAGCGCGCGCAGGCGGCUUGGUAGGUCAGAUGUGAAAUCCCUGGGCUUAACCCAGGAAGUGCAUUUGAUACUGCGUCGCUAGAGUACGGGAGAGGAAAGUGGAAUUCCUGGUGUAGAGGUGAAAUUCGUAGAUAUCAGGAGGAACACCGGUGGCGAAGGCGACUUCCUGGCCCGAUACUGACGCUCAGGCGCGAAAGCGUGGGGAGCAAACAG